RNAcentral lists this ribosomal RNA (253 nucleotides) under uncultured bacterium. RNAcentral describes it as "partial 16S ribosomal RNA". It matches the Rfam family "Bacterial small subunit ribosomal RNA", at positions 524 to 776 of the family's 1533-position model. The record is from RNAcentral.
UACGAAGGGGGCUAGCGUUGCUCGGAAUCACUGGGCGUAAAGCGCACGUAGGCGGGUCCUUAAGUCGGGGGUGAAAUCCUGGAGCUCAACUCCAGAACUGCCUUCGAUACUGAGGAUCUCGAGUCCGGGAGAGGUGAGUGGAACUCCGAGUGUAGAGGUGAAAUUCGUAGAUAUUCGGAAGAACACCAGUGGCGAAGGCGGCUCACUGGCCCGGUACUGACGCUGAGGCGCGAAAGCGUGGGGAGCAAACAGG